RNAcentral lists this ribosomal RNA (823 nucleotides) under uncultured Acidobacteriaceae bacterium. RNAcentral describes it as "bacterial SSU rRNA". It matches the Rfam family "Bacterial small subunit ribosomal RNA", at positions 58 to 911 of the family's 1533-position model. Lineage: Bacteria; Pseudomonadati; Acidobacteriota; Terriglobia; Terriglobales; Acidobacteriaceae. The record is from RNAcentral.
CAAGUCGAACGAGAAAGUGGAGCAAUCCAUGAGUAAAGUGGCGCACGGGUGAGUAACACGUGACUAACCUACCCUUGAGUGGGGAAUAACUUCGGGAAACCGAGGCUAAUACCGCAUAACACCUACGGGUCAAAGGAGCAAUUCGCUUAAGGAGGGGGUCGCGGCAGAUUAGUUAGUUGGCGGGGUAAUGGCCCACCAAGACGGUGAUCUGUAUCCGGCCUGAGAGGGCGCACGGACACACUGGAACUGAAACACGGUCCAGACUCCUACGGGAGGCAGCAGUGGGGAAUUUUGCGCAAUGGGGGAAACCCUGACGCAGCAACGCCGCGUGGAGGAUGAAGUCCCUUGGGACGUAAACUCCUUUCGAUCGGGACGAUUAUGACGGUACCGGAAGAAGAAGCCCCGGCUAACUUCGUGCCAGCAGCCGCGGUAAUACGAGGGGGGCGAGCGUUGUUCGGAAUUAUUGGGCGUAAAGGGCGCGUAGGCGGUUGGAUAAGUCUCGUGUGAAAUCUUCGGGCUCAACUCGAAGUCUGCACGAGAAACUAUCUGGCUUGAGUGUGGGAGAGGUGAAGUGGAAUUCCUGGUGUAGCGGUGAAAUGCGUAGAUAUCAGGAGGAACACCUGUGGCGAAAGCGGCUCACUGGACCACAACUGACGCUGAGGCGCGAAAGCUAGGGGAGCAAACAGGAUUAGAUACCCUGGUAGUCCUAGCCCUAAACGAUGAUCGCUUGGUGUGACGGGUACCCAAUCCCGCCGUGCCGAAGCUAACGCGUUAAGCGAUCCGCCUGGGGAGUACGGUCGCAAGGCUGAAACUCAAAGGAAUU